UUAAGUCAAUGUGAAAGCCCGGGGCUCAACCUCGGAAUAGCAUUUGAAACUGGUCAUCUAGAGUACUGUAGAGGGGGGUAGAAUUUCAGGUGUAGCGGUGAAAUGCGUAGAGAUCUGAAGGAAUACCGGUGGCGAAGGCGGCCCCCUGGACAGAUACUGACACUCAGAUGCGAAAGCGUGGGGAGCAAACAGGAUUAGAUACCCUGGUAGUCCACGCCGUAAACGAUGUCUACUUGGAGGUUGUGGCCUUGAGCCGUGGCUUUCGGAGCUAACGCGUUAAGUAGACCGCCUGGGGAGUACGGUCGCAAGAUUAAAACUCAAAUGAAUUGACGGGGGCCCGCACAAGCGGUGGAGCAUGUGGUUUAAUU
RNAcentral lists this ribosomal RNA (368 nucleotides) under uncultured bacterium. Its description in RNAcentral is "bacterial SSU rRNA". It matches the Rfam family "Bacterial small subunit ribosomal RNA", at positions 583 to 951 of the family's 1533-position model. The record is from RNAcentral.